GGGUGUAUAGCUCAGCGGUAAAGUAUUCAACUGCAUAUUGAAAGGUCUCCUGUUCAAACCUGGGUGUCCCUU
This 72-nucleotide transfer RNA is filed under the name Trichonephila inaurata madagascariensis. It matches the Rfam family "tRNA". Rfam says of the family: Transfer RNA (tRNA) molecules are approximately 80 nucleotides in length. Their secondary structure includes four short double-helical elements and three loops (D, anti-codon, and T loops). Further hydrogen bonds mediate the characteristic L-shaped molecular structure. tRNAs have two regions of fundamental functional importance: the anti-codon, which is responsible for specific mRNA codon recognition, and the 3' end, to which the tRNAs corresponding amino acid is attached (by aminoacyl-tRNA synthetases). tRNAs cope with the degeneracy of the genetic code in two manners: having more than one tRNA (with a specific anti-codon) for a particular amino acid; and 'wobble' base-pairing, i.e. permitting non-standard base-pairing at the 3rd anti-codon position. Lineage: Eukaryota; Metazoa; Arthropoda; Arachnida; Araneae; Nephilidae. The record is from Rfam by way of RNAcentral.